This is a long non-coding RNA of Betta splendens (Siamese fighting fish), 1717 nucleotides long. RefSeq lists it as uncharacterized. The transcript is spliced from 4 exons. The record is from RefSeq and is a predicted model, not a curated record. NCBI's taxonomy places the organism in Eukaryota, Metazoa, Chordata, Actinopteri, Anabantiformes, Osphronemidae.
GGUCGCACUUCGCUCCUCUCCCUGCUCAGGCCGGAGAAAGGAAGGACACAGAGGGACAGUUAGAGCCGCCGAGUCCGCGGAGGGGGAACAAACAGUCCGGAGAGGGGGUCUGACGCGGGCCCCGCGUGCUCAUCACUCCCAGUGAAAUCCAGGAUGCUGAGUCAGACCCAUUCCACUAAUGGACCAGGCAAAGCUGCUGAUCGACUGCAUCAGCCACAGUCUGGAGGAAUAGGGAAGUGUGAUUUUGUCAGCGUUGCCUAUGUGGGUGGUCUCACACCAGGAACACUUGUUGUAGAAGACCACACUGAACAUUCCAGCUGCUGCUUACCAGUCACUGAUAUAUUAAGUUAAGCUAAUUAAGGCAAGACACAUUAGGAGGCAACAUACAGAACAUACAGUUUCUGCCGGUGAUACCUGAGCGGCUGGAGCCUUCAGGCGGCCGCAGCAUGAAGAGUUAACAGAGUGGAUCACCACAGUGGAUGUUUGUUCCGAUAGAAAAGCCGCGUUGUUUGUGGACGACCAACUAAUCAAUUCAGAGACAACCAUGGAGAAGGAAACUGCUUAAAGCCCCAGAGUGACAUGCCAGACGGUUGCUAAUGAUUACAACAGUGCAUAUGGCAGCGCUUGGCAACUGGCACCCCAAAACACGGAGCAGAGAAUAAGCCCUCGGGGCAGUCUCAGGCCUCUAAUUGGGCUCUCACCAGUGACAGGCUUGGCUAAAACGGAGCACUGGUCAGAUACAAACAGAAAGGAGAGAGAAUGUUUGUUAUUGUUAGAGACUGAGGAGAAUGAAAGGUGGCCUCCUUUUGGAAGUACCUCUAUGGGAUUCAUGCCAAACUGGAAAGAUCCAUCCGCUCCCAACAGAGACGCAUGGCUGACGUUCAGACUGACAAUGGUGCUCUUUGUUGAGACAUUCCCGUACGGUUGAUGAUAUUGUUUUGAGUUUUAUUGUCUGCUCUUUUUGUGUGCAAUAAACCCAGAAGAAGAUAAUGAAACCAAUGUGCCUUUUGCAGAAAAUGUAAGAAUAACUGAAAACAGAUAUUGGCAAACGUACCUUCAGUUCUUGGAUGCAUUUUGUUGUGAGACGAUUCCUUGAGACUCUUUCUUUGGGAUGAACAACAUACGAAGACGAUGAAGUCACGUCACAGUGUUUUUGUGAGGAGACACAAUAGAGUUUAAAGGCAGAUAGACUGGCAACACUUAGGAGCAGUUACAGUCAAAUCAGAAAUAUUUCACAUGUACCAUCACAACGUAUAAAUUAAAGCACGAAGGGCAGAUUUCUGGCUGUAUGUCAUCAUACUACAUUCUGUAGGUAAUUUAUCGGCGCUCCGACCCUGUUAGUCACUACAGUUCAAAGUUAAAGCUAGAAGCUGGAGCACAGCGAGACACAAAUGAUCUAUGCCUCCAUAAGAAGGCAUGGUGUCAUAAUCAUUAUAAUGAAAAACAAACAGGCCUGUGGGGACUGUGCUGUUUUCUCUGCGGGGUUGAGGCCUGCUGGUGGCCGUCCUUCACACGUGCAGAUCACUGAAAUCCAGCGUGUGAAGCCCCGGUGAGGGAGCAACAGAUGGCCCGACCCCGUACCUGUCAGGAGGCGUGAGGGGGAGCGGGGGGGGGCCACGGCGGAGCAACGGCGCACACUCAGACCUCCCACAUUUGUUUGGAGCGGUGAAGUCAUUAGCACAGAGUGUUUGUGAUGUUUUUGCGAAGUGACGCAGUC